This 253-nucleotide ribosomal RNA is filed under the name uncultured bacterium. Its description in RNAcentral is "partial 16S ribosomal RNA". It matches the Rfam family "Bacterial small subunit ribosomal RNA", at positions 524 to 776 of the family's 1533-position model. The record is from RNAcentral.
GGCGAAGGGGGCUAGCGUUGUUCGGAAUUACUGGGCGUAAAGCGCGUGUAGGCGGUUGUCCAAGUUGGAUGUGAAAGCCUUGAGCUUAACUCAAGAAAUGCAUUCAGGACUGGAUGACUAGAGGACCGGAGAGGAUAGUGGAAUUCCCAGUGUAGUGGUGAAAUACGUAGAGAUUGGGAAGAACACCAGUGGCGAAGGCGGCUAUCUGGACGGUUUCUGACGCUAAGACGCGAAAGCGUGGGGAGCAAACAGG